UACAGAGGAGCCAAGCGUUGUCCGAAUUGACUGGGCGUAAAGCGCACGCAGGCGGAUGCGCGCGUGGGGUGUGAAAUCUGGCCGCUUAACGGCCAGGCGCCAUCCCAUACGGCACAUCUGGAGGGCUGCAGAGGUCGAUGGAAUUGCCGGUGUAGUGGUGAAAUGCGUAGAUAUCGGGAGGAACACCAGUGGCGAAGGCGACUUCCUGGCCUGUUCUUGACGCUGAGGCGCGAAAGCUAGGGGAGCAAACGGG
RNAcentral lists this ribosomal RNA (253 nucleotides) under uncultured bacterium. RNAcentral describes it as "partial 16S ribosomal RNA". It matches the Rfam family "Bacterial small subunit ribosomal RNA", at positions 524 to 776 of the family's 1533-position model. The record is from RNAcentral.